This is a long non-coding RNA of Carcharodon carcharias (great white shark), 441 nucleotides long. RefSeq lists it as uncharacterized. The record is from RefSeq and is a predicted model, not a curated record. NCBI's taxonomy places the organism in Eukaryota, Metazoa, Chordata, Chondrichthyes, Lamniformes, Lamnidae. The transcript has 3 exons.
GAAAGGGCUCAAGGUACUUCAGGAUUCUCAAGUGAAAAAAGGGAGUCUGAUAACACAGUUAUGGAACCAUUCACUGAGGGCAUUCAGUAUUGGAAUAUUGGAAGUGUCACUCCAUUGUUUAAGAAGGGAUGGAGGAAGAAACAAGAUCAUUGCAGAUUAACAUCCGUUGUGGGAAAGUUACUGGAAUCAGGGAUUGAGUGACUGACAUCAAGUAUAAGAGUCAACAUGGUUUUCUGAAGGAUUUUCCUUUAAGUCUUCAUCAGCCAUACUCCAGCUUUUCCGUGAUACCAGCUUGUUAUGGGAAUAUCGGUACCCAUGAGAAGCCAAGGAGAAUAAUGACGUACAAGUUACAACAUAGUGUUAUGAACGGCAAAACAUAUUCAUUUCAAUCUAAUAUUCCACAUGACCGAACAAGAUAUUGGAGGAAAGAGAAACCCAAGC